This 651-nucleotide ribosomal RNA is filed under the name uncultured bacterium. RNAcentral describes it as "bacterial SSU rRNA". It matches the Rfam family "Bacterial small subunit ribosomal RNA", at positions 139 to 786 of the family's 1533-position model. The record is from RNAcentral.
GGGAUAACCCUUGCGAAAGUAAGACUAAUACCCAAUGACGUCUUCUAGAAGACAUUCUGAAAGAGAUUAAAGAUUUAUCCGUGAUGGAUGGGAUGCGUCUGAUUAGCUUGUUGGCGGGGUAACGGCCCACCCAAGGCAACGAUCAGUAGGGGUUCUGAGAGGAAGGUCCCCCACAUUGGAACUGAGACACGGUCCAAACUCCUACGGGAGGCAGCAGUGAGGAAUAUUGGUCAAUGGACGAGAGUCUGAACCAGCCAAGUAGCGUGCAGGAUGACGGCCCUAUGGGUUGUAAACUGCUUUUAUAAGGGAAUAAAGUGAGUCUCGUGAGACUUUUUGCAUGUACCUUAUGAAUAAGGACCGGCUAAUUCCGUGCCAGCAGCCGCGGUAAUACGGAAGGUCCGGGCGUUAUCCGGAUUUAUUGGGUUUAAAGGGAGCGUAGGCCGGAGAUUAAGCGUGUUGUGAAAUGUAGACGCUCAACGUCUGCACUGCAGCGCGAACUGGUUUCCUUGAGUACGCACAAAGUGGGCGGAAUUCGUGGUGUAGCGGUGAAAUGCUUAGAUAUCACGAAGAACUCCGAUUGCGAAGGCAGCUCACUGGAGCGCAACUGACGCUGAAGCUCGAAAGUGCGGGUAUCGAACAGGAUUAGAUACC